Molecule: transfer RNA, 72 nt
Filed under: Camelus bactrianus (Bactrian camel)
Lineage: Eukaryota; Metazoa; Chordata; Mammalia; Artiodactyla; Camelidae
Also listed under: 2 other names
Rfam family: tRNA
About the family: Transfer RNA (tRNA) molecules are approximately 80 nucleotides in length. Their secondary structure includes four short double-helical elements and three loops (D, anti-codon, and T loops).
Source: Rfam by way of RNAcentral
GGGGGUAUAGCUCCGCGCUACAGCAUGUGCUUAGCAUGCACGAGGUCCUGGGUUCAAUCCCCAGUCCCUCCA